GACGAACGCUGGCGGCGUGCCUAACACAUGCAAGUCGAACGAGAUCCAUGGGAGCUUGCUCCCGGAAGAUCUAGUGGCGAACGGGUGAGUAACACGUGAGAAACCUGCCCUGGAGUGGGGAAUAACUCGGGGAAACUCGAGCUAAUACCGCAUACCCUCGGAUGGGUCGCAUGGCCGACCGAGGAAAAGAUUUAUCGCUCUAGGAGGGUCUCGCGGCCUAUCAGCUAGUUGGUGGGGUAACGGCCUACCAAGGCAACGACGGGUAGCUGGUUUGAGAGAACGAUCAGCCACACUGGGACUGAGACACGGCCCAGACUCCUACGGGAGGCAGCAGUGGGGAAUCUUGCGCAAUGGGCGAAAGCCUGACGCAGCGACGCCGCGUGC
This 384-nucleotide ribosomal RNA is filed under the name uncultured bacterium. RNAcentral describes it as "bacterial SSU rRNA". It matches the Rfam family "Bacterial small subunit ribosomal RNA", at positions 28 to 404 of the family's 1533-position model. The record is from RNAcentral.